This 66-nucleotide transfer RNA is filed under the name Ricania speculum. RNAcentral's name for it is "tRNA-Ser". The record is from RNAcentral. Lineage: Eukaryota; Metazoa; Arthropoda; Insecta; Hemiptera; Ricaniidae.
AGUUAAUAAGCUCUAAAGCGUUAUGUCUUGAAAACAUAAAAAAGAUUAAAUAAAAUCUAUUAACUU